This 500-nucleotide ribosomal RNA is filed under the name uncultured Gammaproteobacteria bacterium. RNAcentral's name for it is "SSU rRNA". It matches the Rfam family "Bacterial small subunit ribosomal RNA", at positions 242 to 734 of the family's 1533-position model. The record is from RNAcentral. Lineage: Bacteria; Pseudomonadati; Pseudomonadota; Gammaproteobacteria.
CAGCUAGUUGGUGGGGUAAUGGCCUACCAAGGCGACAAUCCGUAGCUGGUCUGAGAGGACGACCAGCCACACCGGAACUGAGACACGGUCCGGACUCCUACGGGAGGCAGCAGUGGGGAAUAUUGGACAAUGGGGGAAACCCUGAUCCAGCGACGCCGCGUGUGUGAAGAAGGCCUGCGGGUUGUAAAGCACUUUUAGUGGGGACAAAAAGCUACGGACUAAUACUCUGUGGUCUUGAUUUAACCCAAAGAAAAAGCACCGGCUAACUCUGUGCCAGCAGCCGCGGUAAUACGGAGGGUGCGAGCGUUAAUCGGAAUUACUGGGCGUAAAGCGCGCGUAGACGGUUUUGUAAGUCAGAUGUGAAAUCCCUGGGCUCAACCUGGGAACUGCAUUUGAAACUGCAUGGCUAGAGUAUGGAAGAGGGAAGUGGAAUUUCCGGUGUAGCGGUGAAAUGCGUAGAUAUCGGAAGGAACACCAGUGGCGAAAGCGACUUCCUGGUC